UACGUAGGGUGCAAGCGUUGUCCGGAUUUAUUGGGUUUAAAGGGUGCGUAGGCGGCCUGUUAAGUCAGUGGUGAAAUCCAACAGCUCAACUGUUGAUGUGCCAAUGAUACUGACAGGCUUGAGUACAGACGAGGUAGGCGGAAUUGACAGUGUAGCGGUGAAAUGCAUAGAUAUUGUCAAGAACACCGAUAGCGAAGGCA
Molecule: ribosomal RNA, 200 nt
Filed under: uncultured bacterium
Lineage: Bacteria
Description: partial 16S ribosomal RNA
Rfam family: Bacterial small subunit ribosomal RNA
Source: RNAcentral